UGGUGGGUAGUUUGACUGGGGCGGUCUCCUCCUAAAGAGUAACGGAGGAGCACGAAGGUUGGCUAAUCCUGGUCGGACAUCAGGAGGUUAGUGCAAUGGCAUAAGCCAGCUUGACUGCGAGCGUGACGGCGCGAGCAGGUGCGAAAGCAGGUCAUAGUGAUCCGGUGGUUCUGAAUGGAAGGGCCAUCGCUCAACGGAUAAAAGGUACUCCGGGGAUAACAGGCUGAUACCGCCCAAGAGUUCAUAUCGACGGCGGUGUUUGGCACCUCGAUGUCGGCUCAUCACAUCCUGGGGCUGAAGUAGGUCCCAAGGGUAUGGCUGUUCGCCAUUUAAAGUGGUACGCGAGCUGGGUUUAGAACGUCGUGAGACAGUUCGGUCCCUAUCUGCCGUGGGCGCUGGAGAACUGAGGGGGGCUGCUCCUAGUACGAGAGGACCGGAGUGGACGCAUCACUGGUGUUCGGGUUGUCAUGCCAAUGG
RNAcentral lists this ribosomal RNA (477 nucleotides) under Escherichia coli. RNAcentral describes it as "partial 23S ribosomal RNA". It matches the Rfam family "Bacterial large subunit ribosomal RNA", at positions 2259 to 2735 of the family's 2925-position model. The record is from RNAcentral. RNAcentral also lists the same sequence under 2 other names. Lineage: Bacteria; Pseudomonadati; Pseudomonadota; Gammaproteobacteria; Enterobacterales; Enterobacteriaceae.